Molecule: unclassified non-coding RNA, 253 nt
Filed under: uncultured Lachnospiraceae bacterium
Lineage: Bacteria; Bacillati; Bacillota; Clostridia; Lachnospirales; Lachnospiraceae
Description: contains 16S-23S intergenic spacer region
Rfam family: Bacterial small subunit ribosomal RNA
Source: RNAcentral
UACGUAGGGGGCAAGCGUUAUCCGGAUUUACUGGGUGUAAAGGGAGCGUAGGCGGCGAAGCAAGUCAGAUGUGAAAGCCCGGGGCUCAACCCCGGGACUGCAUUUGAAACUGUUUUGCUAGAGUAUCGGAGAGGUAAGUGGAAUUCCUAGUGUAGCGGUGAAAUGCGUAGAUAUUAGGAGGAACACCAGUGGCGAAGGCGGCUUACUGGACGAUAACUGACGCUGAGGCUCGAAAGCGUGGGGAGCAAACAGG